UUGAGCUUGAUCCUGGCUCAGAUUGAACGCUGGCGGCAGGCCUAACACAUGCAAGUCGAGCGGAAACGAUGGAAGCUUGCUUCCAGGCGUCGAGCGGCGGACGGGUGAGUAAUGCAUGGGAAUCUGCCCGAUAGUGGGGGAUAACCUGGGGAAACCCAGGCUAAUACCGCAUACGUCCUACGGGAGAAAGCAGGGGAUCUUCGGACCUUGCGCUAUCGGAUGAGCCCAUGUCGGAUUAGCUUGUUGGUGAGGUAAUGGCUCACCAAGGCGACGAUCCGUAGCUGGUCUGAGAGGAUGAUCAGCCACAUCGGGACUGAGACACGGCCCGAACUCCUACGGGAGGCAGCAGUGGGGAAUAUUGGACAAUGGGCGAAAGCCUGAUCCAGCCAUGCCGCGUGUGUGAAGAAGGCCCUCGGGUUGUAAAGCACUUUCAGUGGGGAAGAAAGCCUUGGGAUUAAUACUCCCGAGGAAGGACAUCACCCACAGAAGAAGCACCUGACGUAGAUCUCACUGUCGCCACGACAGCGCUG
Molecule: ribosomal RNA, 530 nt
Filed under: Halomonas sp. M5-C4
Lineage: Bacteria; Pseudomonadati; Pseudomonadota; Gammaproteobacteria; Oceanospirillales; Halomonadaceae
Description: bacterial SSU rRNA
Rfam family: Bacterial small subunit ribosomal RNA
Source: RNAcentral